Roseovarius nanhaiticus is the source of this 425-nucleotide non-coding RNA. It matches the Rfam family "Bacterial RNase P class A". Rfam says of the family: Ribonuclease P (RNase P) is a ubiquitous endoribonuclease, found in archaea, bacteria and eukarya as well as chloroplasts and mitochondria. Its best characterised activity is the generation of mature 5'-ends of tRNAs by cleaving the 5'-leader elements of precursor-tRNAs. NCBI's taxonomy places the organism in Bacteria, Pseudomonadati, Pseudomonadota, Alphaproteobacteria, Rhodobacterales, Roseobacteraceae. The record is from Rfam.
GCGGAGGGCCGGAUGGCCGCUUGGGCGGGCUUCGGCCCGUCGGGGAGGAAAGUCCGGACUCCACAAGGCAACGGUGCCGGGUAACGCCCGGCUGGGGUAACCCAAGGGAAAGCGCCACAGAAAACAGACCGCGUCGGUCGAUCGCGUGCGAUCGACCUGCGUAAGGGUGAAACGGUGGGGUAAGAGCCCACCGCGGGGCUGGCAACAGCGCCGGCACGGCAAGCCCCACCGGGAGCAAUGCCAAAUAGGGACCGCGCGCGGGGCUGGUCGAGUUCGCUCGAUACCGCCCGCAGGCACGUCUUGGCCCGGCGGUCCGGGUUGGCAGCCAAAGGGGCGGUGGCAACACCGUCUUUAGAUGAAUGGUCAUCCAGGGGCGGGUUACGGCCCGCUCUGGACAGAAUCCGGCUUAUAGGCCCUCCGCGCAU